GCUGGGUGUGGUGGCACACACCUGUAAUCCCUGCAACUCAGGAGGUUGAGGCAGGAGGAUCAUGAGUUCAAAGCCAGCCUCAG
This 83-nucleotide small RNA is filed under the name Marmota monax (woodchuck). Lineage: Eukaryota; Metazoa; Chordata; Mammalia; Rodentia; Sciuridae. The record is from RNAcentral.